Molecule: transfer RNA, 58 nt
Filed under: Glyphotaelius pellucidus
Lineage: Eukaryota; Metazoa; Arthropoda; Insecta; Trichoptera; Limnephilidae
Description: tRNA-Ser
Source: RNAcentral
GAAUUUUCAAUAAUUAAGCCGCUAACUUAAUUUAUAGUGUAUAAACAUUAAAAAUUCU